GCUAGGGGUGAAAGGCCAAUCAAAUUCCGUGAUAGCUGGUUCUCUCCGAAAUGCAUUUAGGUGCAGCGUCGGUUGAUUGCAUCGCGGGGGUAGAGCUACUGGAUGCUUGCGGGCCCGUGUCGGGUACCAAUAGCAGCCAAACUCCGAAUACCGUGGAUGUGUAUUCCGGCAGUGAGUCGGCGGGGGAUAAGCUCCGUCGUCGAGAGGGAGACAGCCCAGAUCGUCGUCUAAGGUCCCGAAGCGUGUGCUAAGUGGGAAAGGAUGUGGAGUCGCAUAGACAGCCAGGAGGUUGGCUCAGAAGCAGCCAUCCUUGAAAGAGUGCGUAACAGCUCACUGGUCUAGUGGUUCCGCGCCGACAAUGUAGCGGGGCUCAAGCACACCACCGAAGACGCGGCAGCACCUUUUUUGGUGCUGGGGAGGAGAGCGUCCCGCGUGGGGCGAAGCGGCCGGGGAACCGUGCCGUGGACCGCGCGGGAGUGAGAAUGCAGACAUGAGUAGCGAGAGACGGGUGAGGAUCCCGUCCGCUGGAUGACCAAGGGUUCCGGGGCCACGUUCGUCGUCCCCGGGUGAGUCGGGUCCUAAGGCGAGGCCGACAGGCGUAGUCGAAUGGAUGAACGGGUGGAUAUUCCCGUACCGGCGGCGUACCGUAAGAGCCGAACGGAUGAGUACUAACCUCCGGUCGCGUGGCGUCGUUCCCUUCGGGGUUCGGGGCGCGUGGCUGUUGGGAGCGUAGUCCCGGUAGGCUAGCGCACAGGGGUGACACGGAAUGGGAGCCGGCCGCGGAGGUGGUUUUCCGUGGUCAAGCACGCAGCCCGUCCCAUAGGCAAAUCCGUGGGACGUGAGGGUGAGGUGUGAUGAUGGGCGUCCUUUGGACGCGAUAUCCGGUGGUCCAGGCCGUCGAGAAAAGCCUCGGCGCGAGGGGCGUCGCCGCCCGUACCCCAAACCGACACUGGUGGUCAGGUAGAGAAUACCAAGGCGAUCGAGCGAAUCCUGGUCAAGGAACUCGGCAAAUCACUCCCGUGCCUUCGGUAUAAGGGAGACCCCCGGGCGUGAAGAGGCUUGCCCUCGGAGCGUUGGGGGGUGGCACAGACCAGGGGGUAGCGACUGUUUACCAAAAACACAGGUGCAUGCGAAGGCGCAAGCCGCUGUAUAUGCACUGACGCCUGCCCGGUGCCGGAAGGUUAAGAGGAUCCGUCAGCCCCUUUUGGGGUGAAGCGGUGAAUUCAAGCCCCGGUAAACGGCGGUGGUAACUAUAACCAUCCUAAGGUAGCGAAAUUCCUUGUCGGGUAAGUUCCGACCUGCACGAAUGGCGUAACGACUUCCCCACUGUCUCGACCAGGAGCUCGGCGAAAUUGCAGUACGAGUAAAGAUGCUCGUUAAGCGCAGAAGGACGAAAAGACCCCGGGACCUUUACUAUACCUUGGUAUUGGCGUUAGGCGCGGAUUGUGUAGCAUAGGCGGGAGGCUUCGAAGCGCGGGCGCCAGCCCGUGUGGAGCCGCAAGGUGAAAUACCGCUCUGUUCUCGUUUGACGUCUAACCUCGAACAGUCAUCCUGUUCAGGGACAGUGCCUGGCGGGUAGUUUAACUGGGGCGGUUGCCUCCCAAAGAGUAACGGAGGCGCUCAAAGGUCCGCUCAGCCCGGUUGGCAAUCGGGUUUCGAGUGUAAUCGCACAAGCGGGCUUGACUGCGAGAACGACGGUUCGGGCAGGGACGAAAGUCGGAGAUAGUGAUCCGGUGCCGGCGCACGGGCGCGGCAUCGCUCAACGGAUAAAAGGUACCCCGGGGAUAACAGGCUGAUCAUUCCCAAGAGUCCAUAUCGACGGGAUGGUUUGGCACCUCGAUGUCGGCUCGUCGCAUCCUGGGGCUGGAGCAGGUCCCAAGGGUUCGGCUGUUCGCCGAUUAAAGCGGCACGCGAGCUGGGUUCAGAACGUCGUGAGACAGUUUGGUCUCUAUCCUCUGCGCUCGUUGGAAUCCUGAGGAGGCCUGCCCAUAGUACGAGAGGACCUGGGUGGACGGACCUCUGGUAUGCCGGUUGUCGCGCCAGCGGCAUGGCCGGUUGGCUACGUUCGGGAGGGAUAACCGCUGAAAGCAUCUAAGCGGGAAGCCUGCUCCAAGAUUAGGAUUCCUUGACGCUCCCCGGAGCGUCCGAAGCCCGCAUGUUGAACACGUGUUCGAUAGGCCGGAGGUGGAAGCCCCGCGAGGGGUGGAGCCGACCGGUACUAACGGGCGAACGCGGCACAC
This 2240-nucleotide ribosomal RNA is filed under the name human gut metagenome. RNAcentral's name for it is "bacterial LSU rRNA". It matches the Rfam family "Bacterial large subunit ribosomal RNA", at positions 814 to 2925 of the family's 2925-position model. The record is from RNAcentral.